Molecule: non-coding RNA, 67 nt
Filed under: pig gut metagenome
Description: Fluoride riboswitch
Rfam family: Fluoride riboswitch aptamer (crcB RNA motif)
Source: RNAcentral
GAAUAAUGGGAAUGAAGUUCUCCCAAGGGUAACCUGAACCGCUUAAAAAAGCUGAUGACUUCUGCAA